CUUUUCCACAGCAUGUUUUUUUUUUAUCUUCUUUGCAUCACCCCCAGUCGCUCACAGCAAACGGGCCUGACCUGUGGGAGGUUUCUUUCUGUUAGAAGGGAGUUUUUCCUUCCUACUGUCACUAAGUACUUGAUAAUAGGGGUUUUAUGAUUGUUGGGGUUUUCUCUGUAUUAUUGUAGGGUCUUUACCAUGCAAUACAAAGCACCUUGAGGUGACUGUUGUUGUGCUAUAUAAAUAAAAUCAAAUUAAAAAAUAUGUCAGUGUUUCCGUUAGCAUAGCUUCCUUACUAAAGCAGGGGGAUACAGUAACAUGCAUGAAUCGGUUUCUAACCAACAAACCUUUACUGAUGUGAUUAUUGUGUGGUGCUACAAAGGAGUGUCUUCAUAAGUAAAUACAGCAACAAACAUCGCAAUCUUAGCAUAUGGACCUUAUACAGUGUUACGGCUGUGACCGUAAUUGUGUGUGGAUUUGAGUGUCUAGGUGCUCCUCCGGGAUUGACGAUUUGGCGUUGGUAAUGUGUUGUUUUUGCGUGACUGUUAUGUGUUUCCUACUUUACUUUGAAAGUCUGUGUCAUCUUAGUGUGUUCAGUUUACAUUUUCCCUGUCUCGUCAGUUCUGAUUUGCCCCAGCUGUGUUUCCCUCCUGUUGUCCAUUCCCUGAUUGUUCCCUCCAUGUAUUUAAGCCCUGUGUGUCAGUUGUCAUGGUCGCGAUCUUUUUCCCCCCCCGUUGUAAAUAGUUUGGCGCCUUGCGUUGUAAAUAAAUAUCAUUUUGCUUUAAAGAAAAUAGUGGUCGUUUUGGGAUGAUUUUUGUGGAAACCCGUAUUAGUUUUUUCUCGUGUGUUUUUUUUACCUUAUUUUUAUUUUCCUUAUUUUUAUUUUCCUUAUCUUUGUUUUUCUACGUUGCACCCCGGUUGCCUAGGCCGGGGUGUAACAUAUGGGGGCUCGUCCAAUCACUGUGGGGUCCGAGGACCGCUUCAGCCUCCGUCUGUCUUCGCUGGAGGGUCCGUGGGACCGCUCCAGCCUUCGUCCGCCUUCGCUGGAGGGUCCGUGGGACCACUCCAGCCUUCGUCGUCUGCUGGAGGGUCAGGGGGACCGCUCCAGCCUCCAUCAGUUUCAUCUGCCUCCGCUGGAGGGUCCGUGGGACCGCUUCAGUCUUCGUUUGCCUUCGCUGGGGGGUCCGAGGGACCGCCUCAGCCUUCGUCGUCUGCUGGAGGGUCCGUGGGACCGCUCCAGCCUUCAUCCACCUUCGCUGGAGGAUCCGAGGGACCGCUCCAGCCUUCAUCAGCUUCGUUUGUCUUCGCUGGAGGGUCCGAGGCACCGCUCCAGCCUUCGUCUGCCUUCGCUGGAGGGUCCGUGGGACCGCUCCAGACUUCAUCCGUCUUCGCUGGAGGGUCCGUGGGACCGCUCCAGCCUCCACCAGCCUUCAUCCGCCUUCGCUGGAGUGUCCAAGGGACCGCUCCAGCCUUCAUCAGCUUCGUUUGUCUUCGCUGGAGGAUCCGAGGGCCCGCUCCGGUUUUCCGUUUCCACUGGAGGACCCCAGGUGUCCGGUUGUCUUCAUUCUCCGCCAGCCUGGUUAAGUCAAUUCCUCCUUAACAUCUAAAAGAACCUAUUUAAUGAAGGAAGACGGGUUCACUUUGUGUUUAAUAUUAUUCUAUUGCUGUUGUUGUUUUUUUUAUAUCCUUCAAUUGGCGUCACGGAACAGGAUCCGCUCCAGGCCAAACUGGAACGGGUGGGAGGACAUCGGCCGUGGUCUGAGUGAACGGAGUUUGGACAAAAGCUGUGUGCACACAAAAACAAGGACAGCUGUUACUGCUUUCAUCGGGAACCGAGACUGCUUGCAGCCGACCCCUGGGCAGGGUGGUGCCUGGACUCUUUUCUCCUCAUCUGCAAUGACAGAUAAAGACAAAUGAUAAGACCCGAGGAGUUUUUCGAGCCAGGCUUCGACACGUCUCUGUGUUCCUUUGAAUGUUACUUAUGUUUGUGUGUUGACCCAUUUAAGAUGGGUCAAAAGGGGGAUUUGAAGAAAAUAUAAUCUGAUCAAACAUUAUUCAGCUUUAAAUAUUGUUCAGCUUUAAAGUUACUGUGCAACUGUGUAAUAAAAAUAUGCGCUCACGACUUUGGCCUUGAGAGCGAUAAGAAGCGAUCGCCUCAUUCUGCAGGUGCAAGAUAUCUGCAAGCGAAGAGACUAGAACACCCAAGGCCGCUUUCCUUUUAUGGAGUUGUUUUUCUGCUAAUGCAGCACUUUCAUCACAACCCCCUCCUGUAAGUUUUAGAGAAUAUAUACCCAUCCUC
Molecule: long non-coding RNA, 2290 nt
Organism: Astatotilapia calliptera (eastern happy)
Lineage: Eukaryota; Metazoa; Chordata; Actinopteri; Cichliformes; Cichlidae
Source: Ensembl